RNAcentral lists this long non-coding RNA (405 nucleotides) under Pongo abelii (Sumatran orangutan). Its description in RNAcentral is "lincRNA". The record is from RNAcentral. Lineage: Eukaryota; Metazoa; Chordata; Mammalia; Primates; Hominidae.
CAGUCUUCAUUUCUCAGCGGAAAAGCCACUCCCUUGAGACUUUCCAGGCACCCCCAACCACAUUUUUUAUCAAGUGUCUAAAAGACACAAUGAACAGAAACCAGAGCUUUUGAAUACAGAUUUCCAGUAAAACCAAACCCAGCCUGGGUCAGAUGCACCUUUCCAGCUGUCGACCGGAAGUUCAGCUUCCGGGAACUUCAGCCCCCUUCUCAGAGGAGCAAGGUCCUAGCACCAACAGCACCUGCAGUGGAGCCCAAGUAUGGCUGCUUCAUGGAGAAGGCAGGUAUCUGUUUGCGUGCACAACUGUGAGUGCUUGCAUCUCGUGUAUUCGAAAAUCCUGUUUAAGAAUGCAGAGGUCCAUACAGUGUCAUUAAAACAAAUGAGUAUAACCCUUUGGUCAUCUAG